RNAcentral lists this RNase P RNA (368 nucleotides) under uncultured Microbacterium sp. RNAcentral's name for it is "Bacterial RNase P class A". It matches the Rfam family "Bacterial RNase P class A". Rfam says of the family: Ribonuclease P (RNase P) is a ubiquitous endoribonuclease, found in archaea, bacteria and eukarya as well as chloroplasts and mitochondria. Lineage: Bacteria; Bacillati; Actinomycetota; Actinomycetes; Micrococcales; Microbacteriaceae. The record is from RNAcentral.
GGUCGGCUGGACGGUCGCGUGGCGGGAGACCGCACCGAGGAACGUCCGGGCUCCACAGAGCGGGGCGGUGGGUAACGCCCACCCGGAGCAAUCCGCGAGACAGUGCCACAGAGAGAAGACCGCCGCGUCCUGCGAGGGCGCGGUAAGGGUGAAAGGGUGGUGUAAGAGACCACCGGGAGCCGUGGUGACACGGCUCGCCAGGUAAACCUCGCCCGGAGCAAGGCCAGACAGGGGAUGCCGACGCGGCUCGCCGAGUCCCCGGGUAGGCCGCUGGAGCGGCGCGGCAACGCGUCGCCGAGAGAGAUGACCGUCGAAGGGAGCCCUCGAGAGAGGCCCCGGAACAGAACCCGGCGUACAGGCCGGCCCGU